AUGCCAGCCCCAACCUACCUAUCUCCUCCCUCCCUCCCCCUCCGCCACACCACCACCGCCACCGCCAGCGCGCACCUCCUCUCCGGUGGCCGCCGCAACCGUGGCAGCCGCCCACGGCGCAUGUCAGGUCUCGUGCUACUUAAAGCCAAGGUCGGCGAUGUCGACGGAGGGCCCGAGCUCCUCCUGGCUUCGCGGCGACACGCCGUCCUCGGCGUGGCCAGGGUCCUCUUCGCGGCGGCGAACGAGCGGUGCCUGCGGGGCAUGGACCGGGCGGCGCUCGGGCGCGGGGGCUUCUUCGCGGGGGCCAUGGCCAACUCGUGGAGGGUGCUCAUGCAGGGGCUCGCGUCGCUCAUGUUCCUCUGCGCGCGCGCCGACGAGUAUGUCCGGCAGCCGCCGAGCCCGCUUGUGCUCACGCCCCACGACAAGCCGGCCGCUCAUCCUCAGCAGGUGCACAUUUCAACUGUGGGAAGGAACAAGAUGAGGAUUUCAUGGGUCACUGACGACCGGAACACGCCGUCGGUGGUGGAGUACGGCGAAUCUCGGGGCAACUACACCGCGUCAGCGACGGGCGACCAGGCGACGUACAAAUACUUCUUCUACGAGUCCGGCGCGAUCCACCACGUGACGAUCGGCCCGCUGGCGCCCGGCACAACCUACCACUACCGGUGCGGCAAGGCCGGCGACGAGCUCACCCUCCGGACCCCUCCGGCGUCCCUCCCGCUCGAGCUCGUCGUCAUCGGCGACCUCGGGCAGACCCGGUGGACGGCGUCGACGCUGGCGCACAUCGGCGGCGCGGACUACGACAUGCUGCUGCUCCCGGGCGACCUGUCGUACGCGGACACGCAGCAGCCGCUGUGGGACUCGUUCGGGCGGCUGGUGCAGCCGCUGGCGAGCGCGCGGCCGUGGAUGGUGACGGAGGGCAACCACGAGGCGGAGGCGCUCCCCGUCGUCGGCUUCGCGCCCUUCGUCGCCUACAACGCGCGGUGGCGGAUGCCGCACGAGGAGAGUGGCUCCGCCUCCAACCUCUACUACUCGUUCGACGCGGCCGGCGGCGCGGCGCACGUCGUGAUGCUGGGCUCCUACGCCGAGUUCGAGGAGGGGUCGGCGCAGCGCGCGUGGCUGGAGCGGGACCUCGCCGGCGUGGACCGGCGGAGGACGCCGUGGCUGCUGGUGCUGCUGCACGCGCCGUGGUACAACACCAACCAGGCCCACCAGGGGGAGGGCGAGGCGAUGCGCGCCGCCAUGGAGGCGCUCCUCUACGAGGCCCGCGUCGACGUCGUCUUCUCCGGCCACGUCCACGCCUACGAGCGAUUCACGAGGAUCUACGACAACGAGGCCGACGGCCGGGGCCCGAUGUACAUAACCAUCGGCGACGGCGGCAACAGAGAAGGGCUUGCUCUCAAGUUCCUGGAGGAUCACAAGUCGGCGCACCUGUCGGUGUUCCAGGAGGCGAGCUUUGGGCACGGCCGGCUGAGGAUCGUGGACGAGACGAGCGCCGUCUGGACGUGGCACCGCAACGACGACGAAUACGCCACCGUCCGCGACGAGGUCUGGUUGGAGAGCUUGGCUAGUCCAAAGCUAUCCAUGGCAGCCGCCGGUCGUCAGGACGAGGAGUUGUAG
This 1620-nucleotide ribosomal RNA is filed under the name Triticum aestivum (bread wheat). RNAcentral describes it as "partial small subunit ribosomal RNA". Lineage: Eukaryota; Viridiplantae; Streptophyta; Magnoliopsida; Poales; Poaceae. The record is from RNAcentral.